RNAcentral lists this unclassified non-coding RNA (244 nucleotides) under Glomus sp. Its description in RNAcentral is "partial contains 5.8S ribosomal RNA and internal transcribed spacer 2". The stretch from base 1 to 71 matches the Rfam family "5.8S ribosomal RNA", at positions 84 to 154 of the family's 154-position model. The record is from RNAcentral. Lineage: Eukaryota; Fungi; Glomeromycota; Glomeromycetes; Glomerales; Glomeraceae.
GUGAAUCAUCGAAUUUUUGAACGCAAAUUGCACUUUCUUGUAUUCCGGAAAGUAUGCCUGUUUGAGGGUCAAUAAAAUAAAAAUAGGUGUUGUUGCUGCCUUUCGUUGUGCCGCGACGGAAUUGGGUCGUCUUACCUUCUGUUAAGUGACUUAAAAUUUUUUCUUGAUUUUCGAACGUAUUUAAAUCGCUUACGUACGUUUGAAAUAUCUAGUUCUUUUUAAGUUCUGUCCUUUCCAUUAGUUG